This 253-nucleotide ribosomal RNA is filed under the name uncultured bacterium. RNAcentral describes it as "partial 16S ribosomal RNA". It matches the Rfam family "Bacterial small subunit ribosomal RNA", at positions 524 to 776 of the family's 1533-position model. The record is from RNAcentral.
UACGAAGGAUGCAAGCGUUAUCCGGAUUCAUUGGGUUUAAAGGGAGCGUAGGUGGCCUUAUAAGUCCGUGGUGAAAUCUCUCGGCUUAACCGAGAAAUUGCCAUUGAUACUGUAGGGCUUGAGUAUAGUUGCCGUUGGCGGAAUAUGACAUGUAGUGGUGAAAUACAUAGAGAUGUCAUAGAACACCGAUUGCGAAGGCAGCUGACGAAACUAUAACUGACACUGAGGCUCGAAAGUGCGGGGAUCAAACAGG